Molecule: ribosomal RNA, 301 nt
Filed under: uncultured bacterium
Lineage: Bacteria
Description: partial 16S ribosomal RNA
Rfam family: Bacterial small subunit ribosomal RNA
Source: RNAcentral
CAGUCGCCGCGGUAAUACGGAGGGUGCAAGCGUUAAUCGGAAUUACUGGGCGUAAAGCGUGCGUAGGCGGUUCGUUAAGUCUGUUGUGAAAGCCUCGGGCUCAACCUGGGAAUGGCAAUGGAUACUGGCGUGCUAGAGUGUGUCAGAGGAUGGUGGAAUUCCCGGUGUAGCGGUGAAAUGCGUAGAGAUCGGGAGGAACAUCAGUGGCGAAGGCGGCCAUCUGGGACAACACUGACGCUGAGGCACGAAAGCGUGGGGAGCAAACAGGAUUAGAUACCCCUGUAGUCCCUGUCUCUUAUAA